This 77-nucleotide transfer RNA is filed under the name Alphaproteobacteria bacterium. RNAcentral's name for it is "tRNA-Arg". It matches the Rfam family "tRNA". From Rfam's summary of the family: Transfer RNA (tRNA) molecules are approximately 80 nucleotides in length. Lineage: Bacteria; Pseudomonadati; Pseudomonadota; Alphaproteobacteria. The record is from RNAcentral.
GGCCCGCUAGCUCAAUUGGAUAGAGCAGGUCCGUCCUAAGGAUAAGGUUGUAGGUUCAACUCCUACGCGGGUCACCA